AUUCCUGAAGAGUCCUGAAGGGUGUAUCCUGUGAGUUUUCCUGACACAUGGCAUGGGGCCAGCUUCUUCUUUCCAAAUUAACCUCUUCUUGCUGGAGUGCUAUGAAACAAUUGAAGUCUUUCAUUCUAUUUUGAAGAUUUUUGUUUCUUUGAAGAAGGAGUAGUCUUUCUGCAGAUCUAAGCUCCUGUUGACACCACUGAUUAAUUUACUCCAGAUCAGGACCCAUUUUCUCACAACCUG
This 240-nucleotide long non-coding RNA is filed under the name Coturnix japonica (Japanese quail). RNAcentral's name for it is "lncRNA (ENSCJPG00005018435.1)". Lineage: Eukaryota; Metazoa; Chordata; Aves; Galliformes; Phasianidae. The record is from RNAcentral.